UAUCCGCUGCGGCACAGGUUAGUGGAUCUGGACUACUCUUGAGCCUAUUCAUGCGCCCCGGGGGCAUAGUGCUGGCGUCUUUGCGCAUGUCCGCCUCGAGCGGAAAGCCUGUGACGCUACCGUUGUCCCCACCUGAACCUUUGGUUCAAGGGCGAGGAUCUGCGACGGUGUUCGCGGAGGAUAC
Molecule: small RNA, 184 nt
Filed under: Chromatiales bacterium
Lineage: Bacteria; Pseudomonadati; Pseudomonadota; Gammaproteobacteria; Chromatiales
Description: 6S RNA
Rfam family: 6S / SsrS RNA
About the family: E. coli 6S RNA was the first non coding RNA to be sequenced, but its function was unknown until recently. It consists of 184 nucleotides that fold into an extended hairpin structure with a large single-stranded internal bulge. The 6S RNA specifically associates with RNA polymerase holoenzyme containing the sigma70 specificity factor.
Source: RNAcentral